GCCUUCUCCACCCUCUCUUUCUCUCUGUUUGUCUACUCCUCUUCAAACGGCACUCUCACUUCCUCUCCAUUUUUAGUUGUCCUGUUCAGACCAUCUAAUUAUAGCCACCUUCUUCAAGAGGCACCCCCUAAAAACAUCCCUCCAAAAAAGGGAAAGAAAAUGUAAAACAAAAGAAAUGUUCAAUUCCUUAUUCCAUCUGGGAGGGGCUGUUUUUUCCGUGGCUCAAUUCUGAAACUUCUUCUUCAUACACUACUUCUCCUCCGAUUUGCUGCUGCUGCUGCAUUUUCUUGCCUUUGCAAAACUAACUUUCCCAUCACCCUUUUCUUUCUUCUUCCUUCUUGAGUUAUGUUGUGCUGUCCGAAAAUGCACCACUGUCUUGUAGGUUUCUUGAUUGUCUCUCUUGGGAUCCUGGCCACAUUCGUCCAUUCCAAAACUAAUUCCCAGGAUGUUUCUGCUCUUAAUGUGAUGUUUACCAGCUUAAAUUCUCCUUCACAACUGAGCGGCUGGAAAUCAAGUGGUGGAGAUCCUUGUGGCGAUUCUUGGGAAGGAAUUACAUGCUCAGGCUCUGCUGUGACUGAAAUAAAGCUAUCUGACCUUGGACUUACUGGAUCAAUGGGCUACCAGUUGUCAAACUUGAAAUCUGUCACCUACUUUACAGUGAUAUGAGCAAGAACAAUCUCAACAAUGAUAUACCAUAUCAGCUUCCUCCUAAUGUAGCUCACUUAGAUUUUUCUAAUAAUGGCUUCAGUGGCAAUGUGCCUUACUCAAUUUCACAGAUGACUGAACUCGAAUACCUAAAUCUUGGCCAUAAUCAGCUCAAGGGACAGUUGAGUGACAUGUUUCAAAAACUUCCAAAACUUAAAACAUUGGAUUUAUCCUACAACUCUCUUUCAGGCAAUCUGCCGCACAGUUUUGCGUCACUUUCAAAACUCAACACUUUGCAUUUGCAAAACAAUCAAUUCACUGGUUCAAUAAAUGUUCUUGCGGGCCUUCCUCUUAAUAAAUUGAAUGUUGAAAAUAACAAGUUCAAGGGCUGGGUCCCUGAUGAGCUGGAAAAUAUUGACAGCAUAGAAACUGGAGGGAAUUCUUGGUCUUCAGGGCCAGCUCCUCCUCCUCCACCUGGUGCAAAACCUAUUUCUGCAAAACUUAAGGACCAUGAGAUUGGUGGAAAUGGGAAGAAUGGCAUGAGUGGGCUAGCUCUAGCUCUAAUAAUUCUGGCUUCAUUGGUGGUAGUUGCACUUCUGAUUACUCUACUAUCAACAAGAAAAUCUUCUCCGUCUUCACAUUUUCUUGAUGAAGAGAGGGCUAGCCAGCAUAGAGUGUUUACGCCCCUUGCAUCACAGGAAUUAUCCAAUGAUUUACAUAAUGCCAAGCACAAGGAAUUCAGAGAAUCUGAGUCAUUUGAUUCAAUUGAUACAAAGACCCUGCAAAAAUCUCCAUCCAUUGGUUACAAGCCUCCACAUUCUGAUUUUGCACAAUCUUUAAAUGACAAUGAGUUUGCGAGCCGUCUGAAUGCCAGCAGAAGCACCUCCAUUCAUGCCGUACCUUAUUCUUUGGCAGACUUGCAGACAGCUACUGGUAAUUUUGCAGCAGGUCGUCUUAUUGGUGAGGGAUCCCUUGGUCGUGUUUAUAGGGCCAAAUAUCCUGAUGGGAAGGUUUUAGCUGUCAAAAAGAUUGAUUCAUCACUUUUUCAAACAGGGCGGCCAGAACAAUUUUCAGAAAUUAUUUCAAGCAUCUCAAGAGUUCACCAUCCUAACAUUGCUGAACUUGUCGGUUAUUGUUCAGAAAAAGGGCACAACAUGUUAAUAUACGAGUAUCUUAGGAAUGGCUCACUUCACGAGUUCCUGCACAUGUCAGAUGACUUCAGCAAACCACUAACUUGGAACACUAGAGUCAGAAUUGCUCUGGGAACGGCCCGGGCUGUUGAGUACCUCCAUGAAGUUUGUUCUCCAUCCUUCAUCCACAAGAAUAUAAAGUCAUCUAAUAUUUUGCUUGACCUUGAGCUUAAUCCUCGUCUUUCAGACUAUGGGUUAGCAAAUUUUCAUCAUCGCACAAGCCAAAAUCUUGGUGUAGGAUAUAAUGCUCCAGAGUGCACAAAGCCUUCGGCCUAUACAAUGAAGAGUGACAUUUACAGUUUUGGGGUGGUGAUGCUGGAGUUAUUGACUGGCCGAAUGCCUGUUGACCUCUCAAAACCAAAAUCAGAACAAUGCCUUGCCCGUUGGGCUACUCCACAACUGCAUGACAUUGAAGCGUUGGAAAGAAUGGUGGACCCUGCCUUGCGUGGACUAUACCCUCCCAAGUCGCUCUCCCGUUUUGCUGAUAUCAUUGCCCUCUGUGUACAGUCGGAGCCAGAAUUCCGGCCGCCUAUGUCAGAGGUGGUGCAAGCAUUGGUGCGUUUAGUUCAGCGCUCAAGUAUGAACAUGAGAGAUGAUCUUGCAGCCUCUCGUCGGACAGAGGACUCUGACUACUAGUGCUAGUGCUUGGAAUGAAAAAAAAAAAAAAAAAAAA
RNAcentral lists this unclassified non-coding RNA (2508 nucleotides) under Hevea brasiliensis (rubber tree). The record is from RNAcentral. Lineage: Eukaryota; Viridiplantae; Streptophyta; Magnoliopsida; Malpighiales; Euphorbiaceae.